CCUACGGGUGGCAGCAGUGGGGAAUAUUGGACAAUGGGGGGAACCCUGAUCCAGCCAUGCCGCGUGUGUGAAGAAGGCCCUCGGGUUGUAAAGCACUUUCAGUGAGGAAGAACGCCUGGUGGUUAAUACCCAUCAGGAAAGACAUCACUCACAGAAGAAGCACCGGCUAACUCCGUGCCAGCAGCCGCGGUAAUAUGGAGGGUGCGAGCGUUAAUCGGAAUUACUGGGCGUAAAGCGCGCGUAGGUGGCUUGAUAAGCCGGUUGUGAAAGCCCCGGGCUCAACCUGGGAACGGCAUCCGGAACUGUCAAGCUAGAGUGCAGGAGAGGAAGGUAGAAUUCCCGGUGUAGCGGUGAAAUGCGUAGAGAUCGGGAGGAAUACCAGUGGCGAAGGCGGCCUUCUGGACUGACACUGACACUGAGGUGCGAAAGCGUGGGUAGCAAACAGGAUUAGAUACCCUAGUAGUC
Molecule: ribosomal RNA, 465 nt
Filed under: Vreelandella stevensii
Lineage: Bacteria; Pseudomonadati; Pseudomonadota; Gammaproteobacteria; Oceanospirillales; Halomonadaceae
Description: partial 16S ribosomal RNA
Rfam family: Bacterial small subunit ribosomal RNA
Source: RNAcentral